Molecule: non-coding RNA, 106 nt
Filed under: Clostridium acetobutylicum
Lineage: Bacteria; Bacillati; Bacillota; Clostridia; Eubacteriales; Clostridiaceae
Also listed under: 1 other name
Description: SAM-I sequence
Rfam family: SAM riboswitch aptamer (S box leader)
About the family: The SAM riboswitch is found upstream of a number of genes which code for proteins involved in methionine or cysteine biosynthesis in Gram-positive bacteria. The SAM riboswitch acts at the level of transcription termination control. The predicted structure consists of a complex stem-loop region followed by a single stem loop terminator region.
Source: RNAcentral
AUCUUAUCAAGAGUGGUGGAGGGACUGGCCCUUUGAAACCCGGCAACCAGUAUAUUUUUUAAUAUAUGUGGUGCUAAAUCCUGCAGCAAACGCUGAUAGAUGAGAA